This 253-nucleotide ribosomal RNA is filed under the name uncultured bacterium. Its description in RNAcentral is "partial 16S ribosomal RNA". It matches the Rfam family "Bacterial small subunit ribosomal RNA", at positions 524 to 776 of the family's 1533-position model. The record is from RNAcentral.
UACGUAGGGUGCGAGCGUUAAUCGGAAUUACUGGGCGUAAAGGGUGCGCAGGCGGCGUCGCAAGUCAGGCGUGAAAUCCCCGGGCUUAACCUGGGAACUGCACUUGAAACUACGAUGCUGGAGUAUGGCAGAGGGAGGUGGAAUUCCACGUGUAGCGGUGAAAUGCGUAGAGAUGUGGAGGGACACCGAUGGCGAAGGCAGCCUCCUGGGCCAAUACUGACGCUCAUGCACGAAAGCGUGGGGAGCAAACAGG